CAAAUGAUUGACGGGGCCGCACAAGCGGUGGAGCAUGUGGUUUAAUUCGACGCAACGCGAAGAACCUUACCAGGGCUUGACAUCCCCUGACCGCGUAUGAAAGUACGUUUUCACCCUCGGGUGACAGGGAGACAGGUGGUGCAUGGUUGUCGUCAGCUCGUGUCGUGAGAUGUUGGGUUAAGUCCCGCAACGAGCGCAACCCCUACGUUUAGUUGCUAGCGCGUGAAGGCGAGCACUCUAGACGAACUGCCGUUGACAAAACGGAGGAAGGUGGGGAUGACGUCAAAUCAUCAUGCCCCUUAUGUUCUGGGCUACACGCGUGCUACAAUGGCAGGUACAGAGGGCUGCGAAGCCGCGAGGUGGAGCGAAUCCCAGAAAACCUGUCUCAGUCCGGAUUGAAGUCUGCAACUCGACUUCAUGAAGGCGGAAUCGCUAGUAACCGCGAAUCAGCAGGUCGCGGUGAAUACGUUCCCGGGCCUU
RNAcentral lists this ribosomal RNA (480 nucleotides) under uncultured Pelotomaculum sp. RNAcentral's name for it is "bacterial SSU rRNA". It matches the Rfam family "Bacterial small subunit ribosomal RNA", at positions 904 to 1382 of the family's 1533-position model. Lineage: Bacteria; Bacillati; Bacillota; Clostridia; Eubacteriales; Desulfotomaculaceae. The record is from RNAcentral.